This 1301-nucleotide long non-coding RNA is filed under the name Sinocyclocheilus grahami. Its description in RNAcentral is "lncRNA (ENSSGRG00000011587.1)". Lineage: Eukaryota; Metazoa; Chordata; Actinopteri; Cypriniformes; Cyprinidae. The record is from RNAcentral.
GUUAUAAUCUAUUCUAGUGCUCACGUUUUUGGCAACUUAAAAACGGUCUUGUAUUUGUUUCUUUCCCCCAUAACUCUUGCCAUUGUGUCAGUACCGUGAUUUAAACGCUGCCUUGUUUAGUAGUGCAUGAAUAUCAGCUUCAGGAAGUUUUGCUGGUUAUUCAGAUCUGCACUCGUCAAAUCAAAUCGUUCGAAUACAGUUUAAAGUCUACUCUGAACUUCACGCAGAAUGAUUGCACAUUGCCAGAGACAGAGCUCAUCUGGAAACACUAACCUGGGAGAAAGAAAGUUUAAAGUUCAUAUACAACAGAGGAAGGAUGAAACUGGAGUUCUGCAAUGAAGUCACACGGACUGAUGAGAGGCAGGUGCAUCAUGGGAUUGCACGUGGAGAUGAUCUGGAUGAACCACAGACCGUUGAUAAAUCUGGAAAGUGUCAUUGUUUCAGUGAAAGGUCGAGUCCAAGAAUUUCUGCAGAAGAACGAAGAAACAGUGGGAAAUGGUGGGGAAUUUAUCAUGGAGCACAUAAGGAGCGCCAGAAGGGGCACUCGUGUCGAUUCGAGUCGCCAGUGAUGUUGUUAGACUGCAGGACUGGACAAUGAAGUCUUCAGCAAAUGCACUCGCAAAGCUUUUUUCGGCAGUAUGUAUAGCCCUAGGCUAUAUAGCCUAUUGAUGGUACAGGACUAGUGAUUAGAAAAUAAUUAACAUUUUGCAGUUAGAAAGUAUUGUUAGCUCAACCAGGCGAACUUCUCUUUAAAUCUUUACAAAUGCAUUCAAAUUUGACAAGGGAUCAGGUUUUUUUAAUGAAAAAAUUUAGUUUUAAUAUAAACUGCAUCAAAGCUAAAUUGCUUGAUUCAUAAUUAGCAGGGACAAUAAAAUAUUGAGUCAAACUAACAUUUUAUCACGUGGUUAUAGGCUACAUAUAAUGUGUGAGGUCUCCUUUAAUUAUAACAAUAUAUAUGUCAUGCAGAUUGCUUCGAAGCACAGUAAUAAAAUAGGAUUUAAAUGCAGUGUUUGUCGAUGCCGAUUCGUUCUUCAUGUGAACUCUUCUGAUCGCUAGCGGUCGCUGUCGCUCCUAUUGCUGGAAUCACAAGCUGGGAGCUGAUGCUGUGCGUGAACCCGUGCUGCUGUAUGGGUGUUACAAAAGAAAAGAGCCAGUCUACGCCCAAUAGGGGAUAUUAUCUCGCAGAAGAAAAAAAUAAAUGAAUAAAAUAAACGCAAUAAAAUUUGAAAAGAAAUACACGGUCUGAAGUUACAUUUAGACUGAGAGACAGUACCUGACUCCCAAAAAACAACACAUGUAGC